RNAcentral lists this ribosomal RNA (375 nucleotides) under Triticum aestivum (bread wheat). Its description in RNAcentral is "partial small subunit ribosomal RNA". Lineage: Eukaryota; Viridiplantae; Streptophyta; Magnoliopsida; Poales; Poaceae. The record is from RNAcentral.
CUGAAGUUCGAUCGCAUGUUAGAGGAUCACAAAAAAGGGUUGUACCCCAAUUGCGAAGAUGGCAACACAAAGCUCGGUACCGUACUGGAAUUGCUGCAGUGGAAGGCAGAGAAUGCUGUGCCUGACAAAGGAUUUGAGAAGCUAUUGAAAAUAUUGAAGAAGAAGCUUCCAAAGGAUAACGAAUUGCCCGACAGUACAUACGCAGCAAAGAAGGUCGUAUGCCCUCUAGGAUUGGAGGUGCAGAAGAUACAUGCAUGCCCUAUUGACUGCAUCCUCUACCGCGGUGCGUACAAGGAUCUGAACGCAUGCCCGGUAUGCGGUGCAUUGCGGUAUAAGAUCAGACGAGAUGACCCUGGUGAUGUUGACGGCGAGCCC